Molecule: ribosomal RNA, 440 nt
Filed under: uncultured bacterium
Lineage: Bacteria
Description: partial 16S ribosomal RNA
Rfam family: Bacterial small subunit ribosomal RNA
Source: RNAcentral
CUACGGGCUGCAGCAGUGGGGAAUAUUGCACAAUGGGGGAAACCCUGAUGCAGCAACGCCGCGUGGAGGAUGACGCAUUUCGGUGUGUAAACUCCUUUUAUUUAGGAAGAAAUUUGACGGUACUAAAUGAAUAAGCACCGGCUAACUCCGUGCCAGCAGCCGCGGUAAUACGGAGGGUGCAAGCGUUACUCGGAAUCACUGGGCGUAAAGGACGCGUAGGCGGUUUGAUAAGUUGGAUGUGAAAUCCUAUGGCUUAACCAUAGAACUGCAUCCAAAACUGUCAGACUAGAGUGAGGGAGAGGUGAAUGGAAUUAGUGGUGUAGGGGUAAAAUCCGUAGAGAUCACUAGGAAUACUCAUAGCGAAGGCGAUUCACUGGAACUUUACUGACGCUGAGGCGUGAAAGCAUGGGGAGCAAACAGGAUUAGAUACCCUAGUAGUC